GAUGAACGCUGGCGGCGUGCCUAAUACAUGCAAGUCGAGCGAACAGACGAGGAGCUUGCUCCUCUGACGUUAGCGGCGGACGGGUGAGUAACACGUGGAUAACCUACCUAUAAGACUGGGAUAACUUCGGGAAACCGGAGCUAAUACCGGAUAAUAUAUUGAACCGCAUGGUUCAAUAGUGAAAGACGGUUUUGCUGUCACUUAUAGAUGGAUCCGCGCCGCAUUAGCUAGUUGGUAAGGUAACGGCUUACCAAGGCGACGAUGCGUAGCCGACCUGAGAGGGUGAUCGGCCACACUGGAACUGAGACACGCUCCAGACUCCUACGGGAGGAAGCAGUAGGGAAUCUUCCGCAAUGGGCGAAAGCCUGACGGAGCAACGCCGCGUGAGUGAUGAAGGUCUUCGGAUCGUAAAACUCUGUUAUUAGGGAAGAACAAAUGUGUAAGUAACUAUGCACGUCUUGACGGUACCUAAUCAGAAAGCCACGGCUAACUACGUG
Molecule: ribosomal RNA, 497 nt
Filed under: uncultured bacterium
Lineage: Bacteria
Description: partial 16S ribosomal RNA
Rfam family: Bacterial small subunit ribosomal RNA
Source: RNAcentral